CUUGGGUAAAUAGGCCACAUGUGGGGCCCCUGUUCCGCUGUAGUUUUCAAUCGCUAGACGCAUAUGGGAGAUACAACUUCCCGACUGGAUCAAGACAUUUGUGCGAGAAAUACUGAAACCGUCGCACAGCAGUUGAAGCAGGCAGUUCUACCGGUCGGGCCCCUCAGUGUCCACAUCAGCCGAUUUCCAUAGAGGUUACUGUUGAGGCUUGUGACAUUUACAGAGGAAUUUGAGUCUCACGCCCUGUUAAAAAAGAACAUCGGGUCUUUGGGUUGGUCCCACAGAGGACACCUCCUGUGGCAGCCAUCUUGGAAAUGGCGAUAUAGCACUGGCAUGGU
Molecule: long non-coding RNA, 338 nt
Organism: Boleophthalmus pectinirostris (great blue-spotted mudskipper)
Lineage: Eukaryota; Metazoa; Chordata; Actinopteri; Gobiiformes; Gobiidae
Exons: 3
Source: RefSeq, a predicted model, not a curated record